This 1269-nucleotide long non-coding RNA is filed under the name Sus scrofa (pig). RNAcentral describes it as "lncRNA (ENSSSCG00025044745.1, ENSSSCG00055026554.1)". Lineage: Eukaryota; Metazoa; Chordata; Mammalia; Artiodactyla; Suidae. The record is from RNAcentral.
GAGCCAUUAGCCCUAAGGGAUACGGAUGAAGUAGAUCCAACCAUCCCACUGCUUGAUGAAGAAGCACAGAACUUUGAAUUCAAGGCUGCCUUUAUCUAGAUCCCUGACUGACCUGCACUGAGGAGAAAGCAGUUCCAGCUUUGGAAACUGGGGCACUGGGGGAGCCAGGUUCAGGGACAGAGAAUUUGAGCAGUGUCCUGGUAACAGCCUGCAUGGAAGCAGAGGUCAGUUCCUGAGAAGCUCUGCCUGCGUACCUCCUCAGUUUGGGGGAAGGAGGAGCCCCGACCUGGUCAAAAUCAGCCUUCCUUCCCCAGAGCGCCUGUGACCUGAGACCAGGCAAGAACCACGACUGACCACAGGGGAGAAUCCAGUCACUUUCGUUACACUGUGCUCCUGUUCCCUUGGGAAGCCAGCCCCACACUCCUGUAGACUCUCUCUCAUCCCCUAGAUGAGCCUUUUCGUCUACCCCUUGGACAUUCUGACCUCGUACACACCUCGAAGUGUACCGGUAACUCUGCUCUAAUAUGUCAAGUUCUGAAAACAUUUCCACUCUUCUGGCCAAGGAGGCUCAGCCAGUUGUGGGGUGAAAUUUGGGAAGCCUGGAUUGGGAAGUGAAGAUCACCUUGUUCUGUGGAAAGUGAAAGAGGAAUUGAAGCGAGGAAGCUAACGCUCUUCCUUUGGUUCCAGCGCAUCAACCUUCACCUCUCCCCGCAGCACCGCGAUCACCAGCCAUCAAGGCCACCUUGCCCGGUGCCUUUUUUUUUAAAUAUGGCUUUAAAUGCUUCAUCGUGGUUAGAAGACAACAUAGAGAAGCAUUAACAAAAUGAUGGGGAAGACACAAAAUAGAAGAACAGAGAAAGAAGAAAGAGGAAGUAGAAUUCAGGAGGAGAAAAAAUCAUGACAUUGGUUUAUUGAAAACUGAACAGAAGGCAAAAUUGCACCCAGCCACCUCCAGCCCAGCAGGCUUGUCAAAACCAACUCAGACACAGGGGGACUCUUACCUAUUUGUCUCUGGAUCUUCAGAAUGGAGUCAGGAGAGGUGGCAUUUGGAGGCAGCGGAGCUGUGCUGGUUACCUUCGUUUCCCCCUCUGCAUCUACAGAGGUGUUUUGCACAUAAAAGGAUUUCAACAGAGUGAAAUGAUCACUAACUUUUAAGUUAUAUCUACUCUUGCAAAGUGAAAUGUGGAGUUCAGAUGUCUGGGGGGAUAAAAAGGUGUUAAAAAAAGACCCAAAUGGUCCACAUGAAUAAAAGAUGAUACAUUUGGGCCA